UACAGAGGGUGCGAGCGUUGUCCGGAAUCAUUGGGCGUAAAGAGCUCGUAGGCGGCUUAGUAAGUCGGGUGUGAAAACCCCAGGCUCAACCUGGGGACGCCACCCGAUACUGCUAUAGCUAGAGUCCAGUAGGGGAGUGUGGAAUUCCCAGUGUAGCGGUGAAAUGCGCAGAUAUUGGGAGGAACACCAGCGGCGAAGGCGGCACUCUGGGCUGGUACUGACGCUGAGGAGCGAAAGCGUGGGUAGCGAACAGG
This 254-nucleotide ribosomal RNA is filed under the name uncultured bacterium. Its description in RNAcentral is "partial 16S ribosomal RNA". It matches the Rfam family "Bacterial small subunit ribosomal RNA", at positions 524 to 776 of the family's 1533-position model. The record is from RNAcentral.